CAAAAGCUUGGUCCUGGCUUUACUGUCGUCUUUAGCCAAAUUUACACAUGCAAGUAUCCGCACCCCCGUGAGAAUGCCCUUAAUCUUCCUUCCGGAGACCAGGAGCCGGCAUCAGGCACGACUUGUCUGCAGCCCACGACGCCUUGCUCAGCCACACCCUCAAGGGAUUUCAGCAGUGACAGACAUUAAGCAAUGAGUGAAAACUUGACUUAGUUACGGCUAAUAGGGCCGGUCAACCCCGUGCCAGCCACCGCGGUUAUACGAGAGACCCAAGUCGACAGAUAUCGGCGUAAAGAGUGGUUACGGACCCAAUAACCCACUAAAGUCAAACACCUCCUAAACAGUUAUACGCAUUUCGAGGCAAGAGGCCCCACCACGAAAGUGACUUUAAGAAGACUCCCGAACCCACCACAGCUACGAAACAAACUGGGAUUAGAUACCCCACUAUGCAUAGCCAUAAACCUUGAUAGCAGCUUACACUCGCUAUCCGCCCGGGUACUACGAGCACUAGCUUAAAACCCAAAGGACUUGGCGGUGCCUCAGACCCACCUAGAGGAGCCUGUUCUAGAACCGAUACCCCCCGUUCAACCUCACCACCCCUGGCCAAUCCCGCCUAUAUACCGCCGUCGUCAGCUUACCCUGUGAAGGACUCAUAGUAAGCAAAACGGGCACAGCCCCAAACGUCAGGUCGAGGUGUAGCGCAUGCGGUGGAAAGAAAUGGGCUACAUUCUCUUAUUACAGAGCUAGCCGGAGGGUGUAAUGAAACGCGCACCUGAAGGUGGAUUUAGCAGUAAGAGGAAAACACGAGUGUUCCUCUGAAGCCGGCUCUGAAGCGCGCACACACCGCCCGUCACUCUCCCUAAGAUCUUGCACCCGUUGGUGAUUUACAAUGAAUUUCUUAUUAAGGGGAGGCAAGUCGUAACAUGGUAAGUGUACCGGAAGGUGCACUUGGAUUAC
Molecule: non-coding RNA, 957 nt
Filed under: Scopelarchus sp. ausc01
Lineage: Eukaryota; Metazoa; Chordata; Actinopteri; Aulopiformes; Scopelarchidae
Description: 12S ribosomal RNA
Rfam family: Bacterial small subunit ribosomal RNA
Source: RNAcentral